AUUGAACGCUGGCGGAAUGCUUUACACAUGCAAGUCGAGCGGCAGCGCGGCCUUCGGGCUGGCGGCGAGCGGCGAACGGGUGAGUAAUGCAUCGGAACAUGCCCAGUCGUGGGGGAUAACACUUCGAAAGAAGUGCUAAUACCGCAUACGUCCUGAGGGGGAAAGCGGGGGAUCGCAAGACCUCGCGCGAUUGGAGUGGCCGAUGUCAGAUUAGCUAGUUGGUGGGGUAAAGGCCUACCAAGGCGACGAUCUGUAGCUGGUCUGAGAGGAUGAUCAGCCACACUGGGACUGAGACACGGCCCAGACUCCUACGGGAGGCAGCAGUGGGGAAUUUUGGACAAUGGGGGCAACCCUGAUCCAGCCAUUCCGCGUGAGUGAAGAAGGCCUUCGGGUUGUAAAGCUCUUUCGGCAGGAACGAAACUGUGGGCUCUAACAUAGUCCGCUAAUGACGGUACCUGAAGAAGAAGCGCCGGCUAACUACGUG
RNAcentral lists this ribosomal RNA (484 nucleotides) under uncultured bacterium. RNAcentral's name for it is "partial 16S ribosomal RNA". It matches the Rfam family "Bacterial small subunit ribosomal RNA", at positions 30 to 507 of the family's 1533-position model. The record is from RNAcentral.